AGCUCCAGUAGCGUAUAUUAAAGUUGUUGCAGUUAAAAAGCUCGUAGUUGGAUUUCUGGCAGGAGCGACCGGUCUCACACCCUGUGUGAGAACUCGUGUUGUCUCUGGCCAUCCUUGGGGAGAUCCUGUUUGGCAUUCAGUUGUCGGGCAGGGGAUACCCAUCGUUUACUGUGAAAAAAUUAGAGUGUUUAAAGCAGGCUUAUGCCGUUGAAUAUAUUAGCAUGGAAUAAUAAGAUAGGUCUUUGGUACUAUUUUGUUGGUUUGCGCACCAGAGAAAUGAUUAAUAGGGACAGUUGGGGCUAUUCGUAUUCCAUUGUCAGAGGUGAAAUUCUUGGAUUUCUGGAAGACGAACUACUGCGAAAGCAUUUAGCAAGGAUGUUU
Molecule: ribosomal RNA, 381 nt
Filed under: uncultured eukaryote
Lineage: Eukaryota
Description: SSU rRNA
Rfam family: Eukaryotic small subunit ribosomal RNA
Source: RNAcentral